This 884-nucleotide ribosomal RNA is filed under the name uncultured Planctomycetia bacterium. Its description in RNAcentral is "bacterial SSU rRNA". It matches the Rfam family "Bacterial small subunit ribosomal RNA", at positions 58 to 960 of the family's 1533-position model. Lineage: Bacteria; Pseudomonadati; Planctomycetota; Planctomycetia. The record is from RNAcentral.
CAAGUCGAACGGGCCUGGCAACAGGUCAGUGGCGCAAGGGUGAGUAAGGCGACGGUAACCAACCCCAUGGUCGGGUAUAGCCGCGGGAAACUGCGGGUAAUCCCCAGCGACGUAAGAGACCGGCAUCGGCCUCUUACCAAAGCUCCGGCGCCGUGGGACGGGCCGCUGUGGUAUUAGGUAGUUGGCGGGGUAACGGCCCACCAAGCCGAUGAUGCCUACCGGGCGUGCGAGCGUGGCCCGGCACACUGGGACUGAGACACUGCCCAGACUCCUACGGGAGGCUGCAGUCGAGAAUCUUCGGCAAUGGGCGCAAGCCUGACCGAGCGACGCCGCGUGGAGGAUGAAGGCCUUCGGGUUGUAAACUCCUGUCGAGGGGGAGGAAGGCGCAAGCUUGACCGAUCCCUGGAGGAAGCACGGGCUAAGUUCGUGCCAGCAGCCGCGGUAAGACGAACCGUGCGAACGUUAUUCGGAAUCACUGGGCUUAAAGCGCGUGUAGGCGGAUGGGAACGUCGGUAGUUGAAAGCCCCCGGCUCAACCGGGGAAGUGGUGCCGAAACGACCCGUCUGGAGGGACGUAGGGGGACCUGGAACUUCCGGUGGAGCGGUGAAAUGCGUUGAGAUCGGAAGGAACGCCCGUGGCGAAAGCGAGGUCCUGGACGUCUACUGACGCUGAGACGCGAAAGCUAGGGGAGCAAACGGGAUUAGAUACCCCGGUAGUCCUAGCCGUAAACGAUGGGCACUGGGUAGGGGGCUCGCCGAUGGGCUCUCUGCCGUAGGGAAACCGUGAAGUGCCCCGCCUGGGGAGUAUGGUCGCAAGGCUGAAACUCAAAGGAAUUGACGGGGGCUCACACAAGCGGUGGAGCAUGUGGCUUAAUUCGAGGCUAC